UACCACCUGCCAUCCGGAUA
Molecule: non-coding RNA, 20 nt
Filed under: Arabidopsis thaliana (thale cress)
Lineage: Eukaryota; Viridiplantae; Streptophyta; Magnoliopsida; Brassicales; Brassicaceae
Source: RNAcentral